Molecule: small nucleolar RNA, 128 nt
Organism: Phyllostomus discolor (pale spear-nosed bat)
Lineage: Eukaryota; Metazoa; Chordata; Mammalia; Chiroptera; Phyllostomidae
Product: small nucleolar RNA SNORA28
Exons: 1
Source: RefSeq, a predicted model, not a curated record
AAGCGGCACUCUGUGGCAGAUGAUCAGAACUGUCUGACGCAACGUGAACUUGCUACUGCAGCAGAGUCUAACCUAUUCUGGCGCUCUCUCUCCUCCGUGAGACAAGACGUUGUACAAACUUAGACAGU